CCGGAGUUUGGUGCGAGGUUUGUGUACCCGUUUGUCUGUUUGGGAAGUCUUUGUUUUAAUUGAGUCGUGAGUGGUGUAGGUAAUCCCUGAAAGCGUUGGCCGCUGUCCUGGGAUGCGGUGUGUCACUUGUGUGCUGUGGCUCGACAUUCCCGCCAAAUAGUUUUGAAAGUUUGCGGACACUUUAACCUCGGAUCCACUCGUUUUCGAUGUUGCAGCCUCAGUCUGCAUGGGUCAUCGGUGAGUGCGUUUCUUAUCUCUUCAGGCACAUCAACUCCGCACUUGUUCAGGAGGUCCAGUUGGUGUUCUUUCACCUGUUGAACAAGUUGCUGCAUUUCCUUGAGUUGGCAUUCCACAAGUUCUUUCCGGAACUUGCGGCUAAUGUCUGAGUUUCUGGCAUUCUCGUCAUGUAAUUUUAUGUUGGUGUAGCCAAGGAUCGAGUAAAUUAAUUUCUCCCUUGUUGUUUACCUGCAACAAUAAACUAUCAAUCAAUCAAUCUUUCAAACAGACGUACGAGGUUAAAAGAAACGGCUGUGUUUUCAUUAUUCAGCUUCUGCUGUUUUUUUUCUAUUUGCCUUAUCAACCCUUUUUAUAGCGUUUAAAGUCCCGAGGAGCCUUCACCACCCCACCUUCCCCACGGCCUGACCACUUGCUGGACUCGUGUAUGCUUUUACGUGUGCAUGUGGUAGUCUUCGGCUUUGGGUAGAUUAUUGAAAACACACAGAAGAAUGUCUUAAUGUCUACAAUUCCAUCCUGAGAGGCUCCGGCCCAAGGCAAGGCGGCGCCGCACCGUUAAUAAUGCACGGGGCGGCGGGGCGGGGUGCGCCGCGCGGCCGUCACCUGUCACGUGAUGUAAACAAACCUGGCGGGGCUCCAGCGCGCCAGUUUCAUUACUUUGUGUGUGAUAAUUACAUGCGGAGGGCGUGUAGGGUGUCGUGCAGGUGGCCGGGGAGGCGCAACAAGGGCUUACUAUGACUCUCAAAGUGUGCAACCUGCAAGGUGUGACCGAUGCUCUGUUCCGGGAGUUUAUGUCCCAGCCGGGGGAGAGGCAGUGGUGCAGCGAGAUCCUGCACUCCAUCACCAAGGGAGAACGGAUAGACACCAAAGACCUGCUGAAGCUGCCCUCUGAUGCUGGUCCCAAGGGCUCUCCCCGGGGCUCUCCCGUCAACUCCCCGCGGAACCAUGCCCACCUCUCCCCUCUCCUGCUCCCUCCCUCUCCCCGCUCCCCUCUCUCUCCCCUCCUGACCAACACCCCGCCUGCAGUCGUACAGCCCCACACACCGCGUAUACACCACGCUGCCGCUCUCACCGCCUCCAUACCAGCUACAUCACCACCUUUUUCAUCCUCCACCUUCUCCGUUGCCAUCUCAUCAAUCACGCGUUCCUUCUCUGCAACACUGGCCAAUGAGGCGCGCCCGACCAUGACCACCGCACCCGUUGUCUCCUCCAGGAAGCUUGCCCGACGGAGGGUGAGUGUUGCAGCCUCUUUUGUUGCUCUUCUUCACCCUGCUCCUCCAGAAUUUUUCCAAGUUGUGCUAAUUCUAAAUCUAUCUACCUGCCAAAAGGAUUACCUGCUACUAUGGGUUUCAGAGGCCAUGGUGGUGUGUUUUCAGGAAGCGUCGGGUAAUGAAGAUAAUCUGGCAGAGCAUGUUUCAGACCUUGCCCUAAUUUAUUCAAUACGUCACGCUAGCCACUACAUUUGGGCUGAGUCUACCUUUCCAUCACUCUUACAAAUGCUUUGAUUAUUAUUCACAUCUUGGUAUUGUAACAUACUGAAUAAAUUAGGGCAAGGUCUGAAACGCUGUGCCAGAUUAUUAUCCUUACCCGAUGCACUGUUAACCCCUUGACUGCGAUUUUCUACGAGAUGUCACCAAGCUACAGGAAUGGAACAAAUAGUGGCUGCUACAAUUCAGUGAAGAAAAUGUAGUCACGCACCUUGGGAGGGGAUAUCCAGCAUACCAGUACCACAUGGGAAACACUCCACUAUCCACCACAGAGGCAGAAAAAGACCUGGGAGUAUAUGUUACCAGGCUACCAGAGAAGGACAAAUCCGUGCCAAUCGCAGCGGACGGGUUAAAAAUGAUAUAACACAGCCUCUGAAACCCAUAGUAGUGUCUAAAGGCUCCAUACCUGCUUGCAUAUGUCAGCCUUCUUUUCCUUAUGGCAGUUCUUACUUCUGCUUCCUCUUCAGCAGCCUCUAGUCUGUGCAGGGAGUUUAAUUCUCUGCAGGUGUAUAUUUUGUAUUUGAACUUAGUAUCCAUUAUGCUCUUCUUACCGGGUGAAAAUAUCUACCCUCUCCAUAGUGUGAAAAGUAAGUAUGUAUCACAUUUUGCAUCUCUCUUGAAACAGAGAUUGGAUGUAAAUGUUUCAGUCACCAGAGAAUGACUGAAACUAAGCACUCCCGGGAAAUUUAUAGUGUGGUUAUGUAUGUUGCAGAUGUUGUAUAUUUGUUAAAUCAUGUGUCUUUUUCUAUCAUUGAAUCUCCAUGCAUAAUGACCUCUCUGACUUCUCCUUCCUAAUGAGUGGUUUUAUGUUGUUUUAUAUUAUUCUUGGUGGUUAAAUUAGUGUCGCAGUGUUUGCUCAUGUACAUCUGUUUUCUGUGGGUCAACGUGUUUGCCGAUGUUUGCAUCUUGUGUGUUCAGGGCAUCACAUUGCUCAAGGUGGAAGAGUUGAGUUGUGAUAGAAAUUUCUGAGCCAUUGUUGCAUAAUUGAUGACCUGCUGGCGAGGCGAUUUCGUUGCUCUUGGUGGAAUGGUGUUAUCGUGAUGUAAAAGCUCUAAUCUCGUGUUCUUUUUAUGGCUAAUGGCAGAUAGUUGGAGCAGAACAUAAAGGGAUAUAAUGCUUUGUUUUAAGAUGGCAUGCUGCUCGGGUGGACGUUUCUCACACUUCUUCGGACCCAUAACUAAAAAAGGGGGUGUGGAGAAGCUGUAUCUCUCUGUUUAAUAUUUUGUGCUCAUCUGACUCAGUGAAGGGUUGUCAGCAUGUCAUUUUUUUAUUGCCUCCUACAUGUGUUUGGUGACCUGUCUUAUUAUGUGAGGUGCAUAAGGGAUGUAGGUAUAUUUUUUUCUCCAGUUUCCACAUCCAAGGAAAAACAAGAUGAAAGUUGCCCGAGAAAAGUGACUCGGUACACCAGUUACAAGGUCGCUUUUCCCUUACAACUUGAUUCUUGUUCCUUUUUUUUUUUUUGUGUGUGUGUGUGUGUGUAUACACCUAUAGCGCCGGUAGGCUUUUCUUGAGGGCCUGGAUGGUAGUUGGCCCCAGCCUGUCAUGGCGUAGGCAAGUGUUUAUAGUGGCGCCAUCUUCUCUUGCUCUUCUCUUACUGUAAUGUGUAGCCUGUCUUUUUUAUUGCAAUCUAGAAAAAAAUGGCAUCGUCCCUCACACCCUGUCUCUUUCGGAUGCCUCAUAUCUAAUGCAGUGAAUCUCGCUGGAAUCUGAAUUGAAAAAACAAGUUACUUUCACAACCGAACUUAAUAAAUAUAAUAUCCUACUGAUGCCUCAUAAAACAGCUUGCCUUUCAACGCGCCGCUGCCUCAUCACCAUCAUCUGGGCGUUACACUUGUUUGUGCAGCAAGAGUGUUUUGAUGCAUUUGCAAAUCUAUUAAUAAGAGUCAAAGGAUCGUAUACAAGACUGACUGGAGGGUGCACGUGCCUCUUACCUCUGUGGCUCUCAUAAAGUAGUUUAUCUUAUCGACGUGGCACUGAUAGCAUUAUGUGAUUGUUGUUUGUCCAACGAUGCUCCAAUACAAGUGAAAACGUAUAUCAAAGGAUUGUAUUCAAGACUGACUGGAGGGUAGUACUCGUGUCUCAUACCUCUGGCUUUCUCAUGAAGCAGCUUAUGUACUUUGUCGAUGUGGCAGUGAUGAUAUUAUGUGAUUGUCGUCUGUCCAAUACCAGCGUAAAUAUGUCAGGAUCGUAUACAAGACUGACUGGAGGGUACAUGUGUCCCUUACAUUCAGGGUCUCAUAAAGCAGUUUACUUUGUCGAUGUGGCAGUAAUAAUAUCAUGUGAUUGUUGCUUGUCCAGCUGUGCUCCAAUACCAGUGUAAACAUAUUAUACCCUCGGGGGUACAAGAACAAUAUCGGCCGGAGGGUACAUACAAACAGAGCCUUGCCUCAGUUCCCAUCAUGGACUGGGUCAGGGAGGUUCCUCAGAAGGGCAGGGUAGGCGUGUGACAGUCCUAAGCCGAUCCAGCAUGUUGUUCUCCCAUUACUCUUUGCCCAGAAAAUGUUCUCAACGGUAGAAGACAGUUUUAUGGCCUGACGGUUGCAUGUUGCAGGAACUUCAUCCUGUUAAUUGGCUCCUGCCUAUGCAUCAAAGUCUCCUCCUUCAGUUUGUAGACUUAGCCCUCGAGUUAAGCGUGGGUCGCUGGGCGAGGCUGCCUGACCCCUGGCCUCGUCGGCGCAGUGGGAGGGUUGUCUCGUAAAUAGCGGGUGCAGGUCUUGUUUAGAGCUAGAAAUAUCAUGUAGUGUUUUGAGAGUGAUCGCCUCCACUUACAGCUGAGGAGAGGCAGGCGAGGUGCUGAGGGUAGGGACGGCGUCCUGAUACACGGCAACACACACAAGCACACACUGAAGAAAAUUUCGUCACUGUGAUCCGUAUCUUAACUUUCUUAUCACGCUUUUUAUCGUGUUCGUUUUCUUUGCGAUAAGAACAGAUAAAGGCGGGGCGUGGGUGUGCACUGUUACAUGUCCUGCGUUAGGUGUGUUGAAGGACGCGUUGCCUUGGUGUGUGUGUGUGUGUGUGUGUGUAGCGAACACAAGCCCGGGUGGCUCUGAAACCAGCCCAACGAGGCGUUCCCAGGGAGGGCCAUCCCCUGCCCCCUCCGCCCCAGCCCGGCGGCGGCCGCCGGGGCCUCACCCUCGCCGCCUCAGUCAGUCAGUGGCGCACCCGCACCUUGAACGGACGGACACGCUACCGAGCCCGGCGCAGUCCACGCUUCCAACACACCGCCAGGACGCGGGAUACCUCUACCUCGUCACUGUGGAACGUCCAAAGGAUACCCUGCAUGAAGCUUCGGAGAUAAGAGAUAAAAGAUGAAAAAAAAGGAGAGAUAGUAUGAGAAAAUGACAGGAAAUGGAGAAAGAGACGAAGAGAAAGAAUGAAAAUGAUGUGAUGUUAAAAAAAGAAAGUGUUAUCUCUCUUUGGCGCUUUCUCGUUUUCCUUCCGUUCGUUCCCUGCCAUCACUUACGAGUCCUCUUGUCCUCCUCGUCAUCGUUCUCCUCAUCCUCCCUUUUCAAGACACAUCCCUGAACGACGAUACAGUAAGUGCUGAUCUCACAUCCUCCUCUGUGUGUGUGUGUGUGUGUGUGUGUGUGUGUGUGUGUCAGUCUGAAGUAUGCUGAGUUGACUGUGUGUGUGUGUGUGUGUGUGUGUGUGUGUGUGUGUGUGAAGUAUGCUGAGUUGAGUUGACUGUGUGUGUGUGUGUGUGUGUGUGUGUGUGUGUGUGUGUGUGUGUGUGUGAAGUAUGCUGAGUUGAGUUGACUGUGUGUGUGUGUGUGUGUGUGUGUGUGUGUGUGGUGUGUUAAGCAACAAUCGCGUGUGACCUUGAUGAGUGUGUUCGCUCCUCCAUGUGUUCGCUGUGAGUGGCGGAAGACGCCUUAUUAGGAUGUGCCGGAGUGUGUAUGGGAACCUUGGUGAUGGGGGGGAGGGGGGGUGAAAAUUGCGAAGGAAAAAGAGAUGAUGGUGUUUCUCUCCCUUUAUAACCAGUAAGUAAUUUUUUUUCUUAUCUCACUACUUCUGUGAAUCUGGUAAAGCGUGUGGCUGUGCGUUUUCUUUGUUUUCUUUUUCUACUAUUGCGUAGGAGAGUAUUUUCCUUCCCUUCAUUGAUCAGUAGGUUAUUUUUUUUUUCAUCUUCUAUGAAUCUGGAAAAGCGUGUGGCUGCGUUUUCUUUAUAAUAUCGCAAUUUUAUUUUUUAUUUUUUUUUGUCUUGUUUUCUACUAAUGCUAAGGAGAGACGAUUUUCCUUCCUUUCAUCGAUCAGUAGGUUAUUUUUUUCCAUCUUAUCUCCCUUUUAUGAAUCUGGAAGUGUGACAGCGUUUUCUUUAAUCU
Molecule: long non-coding RNA, 6043 nt
Organism: Eriocheir sinensis (Chinese mitten crab)
Lineage: Eukaryota; Metazoa; Arthropoda; Malacostraca; Decapoda; Varunidae
Exons: 4
Source: RefSeq, a predicted model, not a curated record